Molecule: ribosomal RNA, 698 nt
Filed under: uncultured Rhodopseudomonas sp.
Lineage: Bacteria; Pseudomonadati; Pseudomonadota; Alphaproteobacteria; Hyphomicrobiales; Nitrobacteraceae
Description: bacterial SSU rRNA
Rfam family: Bacterial small subunit ribosomal RNA
Source: RNAcentral
CUUCGGGAUGUAAACUUCGCAAGAACGGGAAGAAUAAGUCUGUGCAAAUAUCACAGAUGAUGACGGUACCGUUUGUAAGCUCCGGCUAACUCCGUGCCAGCAGCCGCGGUAAUACGGGGGGAGCAAGCGUUGUUCGGAUUUACUGGGCGUAAAGGGCGCGUAGGCGGCCACCGCAAGUCGACUGUGAAAUCUCCGGGCUUAACCCGGAACGGUCAGCCGAUACUGCGGGGCUAGAGUGCAGAAGGGGCAACUGGAAUUCUCGGUGUAGCGGUGAAAUGCGUAGAUAUCGAGAGGAACACCUGCGGCGAAGGCGGGUUGCUGGGCUGACACUGACGCUGAGGCGCGAAAGCUAGGGGAGCGAACGGGAUUAGAUACCCCGGUAGUCCUAGCCUUAAACGAUGAAUGCUUGGUGUCUGGGGUUUUAUAGUCCCCGGGUGCCGUCGCUAACGCUUUAAGCAUUCCGCCUGGGGAGUACGGUCGCAAGACUGAAACUCAAAGGAAUUGACGGGGACCCGCACAAGCGGUGGAGCAUGUGGUUUAAUUCGACGCAACGCGAAGAACCUUACCUGGGCUAGAAUGCCUCUGACAGCCGUAGAGAUACAGCCUCCUGGGUAAAACCAGGCAGAGUGCAAGGUGCUGCAUGGCUGUCGUCAGCUCGUGUCGCGAGAUGUUGGGUUAAGUCCCGCAACGAGCGCAAC